UUUAUGGAGAGUUUGAUCCUGGCUCAGGAUGAACGCUGGCGGCGUGCCUAAUACAUGCAAGUCGAGCGAACAGAUAAGGAGCUUGCUCCUUUGACGUUAGCGGCGGACGGGUGAGUAACACGUGGGUAACCUACCUAUAAGACUGGGAUAACUUCGGGAAACCGGAGCUAAUACCGGAUAACAUUUGGAACCGCAUGGUUCUAAAGUGAAAGAUGGUUUUGCUAUCACUUAUAGAUGGACCCGCGCCGUAUUAGCUAGUUGGUAAGGUAACGGCUUACCAAGGCGACGAUACGUAGCCGACCUGAGAGGGUGAUCGGCCACACUGGAACUGAGACACGGUCCAGACUCCUACGGGAGGCAGCAGUAGGGA
This 370-nucleotide ribosomal RNA is filed under the name Staphylococcus aureus. RNAcentral's name for it is "bacterial SSU rRNA". It matches the Rfam family "Bacterial small subunit ribosomal RNA", at positions 1 to 360 of the family's 1533-position model. RNAcentral also lists the same sequence under 1 other name. Lineage: Bacteria; Bacillati; Bacillota; Bacilli; Caryophanales; Staphylococcaceae. The record is from RNAcentral.